UAAAUGAAACAGGGGAGCCCUUGGGCUGAGAUAAAGCAGAUGCUUUAACCCUUAGAACCUGAUCUGGAUAAUACCAGCGAAGGGAGUUGUGGGGAGUGAUUA
Halanaerobium kushneri is the source of this 102-nucleotide non-coding RNA. Lineage: Bacteria; Bacillati; Bacillota; Clostridia; Halanaerobiales; Halanaerobiaceae. The record is from Rfam.